GCCGAGCGGUAGAGUCUCCUUCGGAGACUUGAGAGCGGCGCACGGGUGCGGAACACGUGUGCAACCUGCCUUUAUCUGGGGGAUAGCCUUUCGAAAGGAAGAUUAAUACCCCAUAAUAUAUUGAAUGGCAUCAUUCGAUAUUGAAAACUCCGGUGGAUAGAGAUGGGCACGCGCAAGAUUAGAUAGUUGGUGAGGUAACGGCUCACCAAGUCAGCGAUCUUUAGGGGGCCUGAGAGGGUGAUCCCCCACACUGGUACUGAGACACGGACCAGACUCCUACGGGAGGCAGCAGUGAGGAAUAUUGGACAAUGGGUGAGAGCCUGAUCCAGCCAUCCCGCGUGAAGGACGACGGCCCUAUGGGUUGUAAACUUCUUUUGUAUAGGGAUAAACCUACCCUCGUGAGGGUAGCUGAAGGUACUAUACGAAUAAGCACCGGCUAACUCCGUGCCAGCAGCCGCGGUAAUACGGAGGGUGCAAGCGUUAUCCGGAUUUAUUGGGUUUAAAGGGUCCGUAGGCGGAUCUGUAAGUCAGUGGUGAAAUCUCACAGCUUAACUGUGAAACUGCCAUUGAUACUGCAGGUCUUGAGUGUUGUUGAAGUAGCUGGAAUAAGUAGUGUAGCGGUGAAAUGCAUAGAUAUUACUUAGAACACCAAUUGCGAAGGCAGGUUACUAAGCAACAACUGACGCUGAUGGACGAAAGCGUGGGGAGCGAACAGGAUUAGAUACCCUGGUAGUCCACGCCGUAAACGAUGCUAACUCGUUUUUGGGCUUUUUGGGGUUCAGAGACUAAGCGAAAGUGAUAAGUUAGCCACCUGGGGAGUACGUUCGCAAGAAUGAAACUCAAAGGAAUUGACGGGGGCCCGCACAAGCGGUGGAUUAUGUGGUUUAAUUCGAUGAUACGCGAGGAACCUUACCAAGGCUUAAAUGGGAAAUGACAGGUUUAGAAAUAGACUUUUCUUCGGACAUUUUUCAAGGUGCUGCAUGGUUGUCGUCAGCUCGUGCCGUGAGGUGUUAGGUUAAGUCCUGCAACGAGCGCAACCCCUGUCACUAGUUGCCAUCAUUAAGUUGGGGACUCUAGUGAGACUGCCUACGCAAGUAGAGAGGAAGGUGGGGAUGACGUCAAAUCAUCACGGCCCUUACGCCUUGGGCCACACACGUAAUACAAUGGCCAGUACAGAGGGCAGCUACACAGCGAUGUGAUGCAAAUCUCGAAAGCUGGUCUCAGUUCGGAUUGGAGUCUGCAACUCGACUCUAUGAAGCUGGAAUCGCUAGUAAUCGCGCAUCAGCCAUGGCGCGGUGAAUACGUUCCCGGGCCUUGUACACACCGCCCGUCAAGCCAUGGAAGUCUGGGGUACCUGAAGUCGGUGACCGUAACAGGAGCUGC
Molecule: ribosomal RNA, 1383 nt
Filed under: Chryseobacterium sp.
Lineage: Bacteria; Pseudomonadati; Bacteroidota; Flavobacteriia; Flavobacteriales; Weeksellaceae
Description: bacterial SSU rRNA
Rfam family: Bacterial small subunit ribosomal RNA
Source: RNAcentral